UCCUACGGGAGGCAGCAGUGGGGAAUAUUGCACAAUGGGGGGAACCCUGAUGCAGCCAUGCCGCGUGAAUGAAGAAGGCCUUCGGGUUGUAAAGUUCUUUCGGUGAUGAGGAAGGUGUUUUGUUUAAUAGACAAAGCAAUUGACGUUAGUCACAGAAGAAGCACCGGCUAACUCCGUGCCAGCAGCCGCGGUAAUACGGAGGGUGCGAGCGUUAAUCGGAAUAACUGGGCGUAAAGGGCACGCAGGCGGAUUGUUAAGUGAGAUGUGAAAGCCCCGAGCUUAACUUGGGAAUUGCAUUUCAGACUGGCUAUCUAGAGUAUUUUAGGGAGGGGUAGAAUUCCACGUGUAGCGGUGAAAUGCGUAGAGAUGUGGAGGAAUACCGAAGGCGAAGGCAGCCCCUUGGGAAUAUACUGACGCUCAUGUGCGAAAGCGUGGGGAGCAAACAGGAUUAGAUACCCUGGUAGUCC
RNAcentral lists this ribosomal RNA (467 nucleotides) under uncultured bacterium. RNAcentral describes it as "bacterial SSU rRNA". It matches the Rfam family "Bacterial small subunit ribosomal RNA", at positions 337 to 796 of the family's 1533-position model. The record is from RNAcentral.